AUGCAGUCACAUUCUCGAGUAUUGGCCCUUAGGACUUCAGUAUGUGAAUCUGGGGGAGAUACGAUACAGCACAUACAAACACAUAAAGUCAUACAUUUGACUAUCGGUACAUAUAACUGCCUUGUACACGUGGUUCUAUAUGAUCCUGUGACAUAUUUAAUCAGUCUUCUUUUGAUGAGCCUGUCCUUGUCUUUUGCUACUUGAAUAUCCUUGAAUAAGUAUCUGCUGGCACAUACAUGAAUAUACUUGUAGGUAAAUUUCUAGGAGUUGUUGUAUUAAAAGAGUUAUGUGUUUCUGUGAACCAGAUGUGGGUCCAUAUUAUGUCAGGAGGGAGUUGGUCUGGGCACUGAGCCACAGCCCUUCCUGACAGGACAAGGGCACCUCAGCGAAAGAGAUGGGAGCUGUAAGGACAGAGACAGAAGUUGGGGGUGAGCAGAGUGCAAGAGAUUGUGUGCUGUGAGGCACUACUCACAAUAACGGACCUGUACUGAUGUAUUCCCAGUGGAUUGUUUUGUAACUAGAAAUGACUAGACGAUUUUUAUUAUGUAGUUGUGACCAGUAAAGUCGUGGCAUCUGCCCUAAUUUUUAUCCAAGGAGUAGGAUCACCCACCAGAGGAGAUUUAAAGUGGGACUGAAAGGAUUUUAUACUGCUUGCAUUUUAUGCCUCCUUCUCAUUUAGUUUAACAGUUACUAAUAUGUGCAUAAGUAUUUGCUUAGAGAUGGGUCACAAAGAGUCGGACAUGACUGAGCAACUUUCACUCACUCACAUAGGAAAAAUAUUUGGAAUUGAUAUUACCAGAUUGUUAAAAGUAUAAGGGCAUUGGUACUUUAUAUGCAUACAUCUGUGCUGUUUAAAAUUUUACAAAGAGCAAGAAUUAUUUUUUGUAACUGAAUUAAAAAAAAAAAAUCCUGAAAGCGUGAAGUUCUCUGAAUUUAAUUAUGAUACAGUUUCUGAGCCAGAAGUUUUGUAGUUUGUAUGGACAAGAGCAAGGAAAUGGUCUAAAAAAUGCCAAACUGUUUACAGUAGGUAUUCCUGAAGAGUGCAAUUGUAGAGCUAAGUAACUUUUUCAUUUAACUUUAUAUAUUUCUAGACGCUUCAAAAAUGAUUUUUAAAAUAAUACUGUAUUGAAUAUUUGGAGACUGCUAAGAGAGUAGAGGGUAUUUGCUAUGACCAGUGCAUUUUCUUGGCAAGACUCUAUUAGUCUUUGCCC
This 1211-nucleotide long non-coding RNA is filed under the name Capra hircus (goat). RNAcentral describes it as "lncRNA (ENSCHIG00010001638.1)". The record is from RNAcentral. Lineage: Eukaryota; Metazoa; Chordata; Mammalia; Artiodactyla; Bovidae.